AACAGCCUCCCCCAUGAUCUACCACAGGUUUUACGCUCCAAUUCUGCUCUUGAGUCGCAACAGUGAGGACACUGUUGGAUUUAAGUUUAGGGGAGUAUUCUACUAUCUCUAUUUACUUUUAAUUUCUAGUCAUUUGAAUUUUUAUUUCCUUUCGCAUAAUAAAAAAAUUGAAUUUAUAGUAUAUUCUUUGGUUUUUCUAAAUUUUUCCUUUUCUUGAGCCAAAUUAAAAUUUUUUCCAAAGACUUAGGAUAAUAGCUCACUUAGAAAGUAUAUAGGUUAAGAAAAGAUGAGAGGCUAAGUUAAGGAAAUUAGGGAAUUUUACAACAAAAUCGGUAUUUUUCCAACACCCAGAAGUCUCCCUAGUAUAGAUAUCAAUUUGAAUAACCAUUGUGCCAAAAUCUCCUGAUUUAAAUUUGUGGAAUCCUUUAGUAGUUUAUCUAUCCAGUCGGACACCAUCUAUAAAGUCACACAUUAAGUAGGUUUGUCGAUGAAUAUAAGCGAAUC
RNAcentral lists this long non-coding RNA (504 nucleotides) under Trifolium pratense (red clover). Its description in RNAcentral is "long non-coding RNA (TPRA_LNC008315)". The record is from RNAcentral. Lineage: Eukaryota; Viridiplantae; Streptophyta; Magnoliopsida; Fabales; Fabaceae.